UACGGAAGGUGCAAGCGUUGUUCGGAGUGACUGGGCGUAAAGCGCGCGUAGGCUGGAGGAUAAGACGACUGUGAAAGCCCUGGGCUUAACCUGGGAAGUGCAGCCGUGACUGUCUUUCUUGAAUGUCUGAGAGGCUAGUGGAAUUCCGGGUGUAGGAGUGAAAUCCGUAGAUAUCUGGAGGAACAUCGGAGGCGAAGGCGGCUGGCUGGCAGAACAUUGACGCUGAGGCGCGAGAGCGCGGGGAGCAAACAGG
Molecule: ribosomal RNA, 253 nt
Filed under: uncultured prokaryote
Description: partial 16S ribosomal RNA
Rfam family: Bacterial small subunit ribosomal RNA
Source: RNAcentral